This 135-nucleotide small RNA is filed under the name Escherichia marmotae. Its description in RNAcentral is "RtT sRNA". It matches the Rfam family "RtT RNA". Rfam says of the family: This family represents a bacterial cis-regulatory element known as RtT RNA. The record is from RNAcentral. Lineage: Bacteria; Pseudomonadati; Pseudomonadota; Gammaproteobacteria; Enterobacterales; Enterobacteriaceae.
GCUUUCUGCGGUUUGAAGAGGAUGAGAACCUCCGGGGGCAGAGAGGUUCGACUCAAGCGAAGCGAGAGAACGUUGCGCCAGCAACGGCCCGCAGGGCAAGCCACGAAGUGACGAGUAAUCCUCUAUCACCGACCA